AAAGCAAAUCCAAGACGUUAACUACAGAAUUGCAGACAGUUUAAAUGCCCCCAGCUUGGCACCCCAAGAGGUGUAGCAUGUUAAAACGAGUAGAACCAACACUUCACUGCUACUGAUAACCUACUACCCACUGGACAUGUGAUCCUCUGUACAUUCCAAUCCUUUCUGCAUAAUGAAUAAUGACUGGUCAAGAUAAUAUCCUGCUUUUUUAUUUUGUGGAGAAAAAUUCAUAUGUAUUUAUAUUAAAUGCUAAUUUUUUUGAAAAUAUGUCAAGACUACUUACGUCAAAAGUGAUGCGAGUAUCCAUUUUAGUUUUCAAUGUGAUUUGCAUUUUGUUUUUCCACAAAUUUUGUAUGAUACUUGAUCGUAACGAUAUGAUACCUGAACUGUAAAGAAUUGCCUGUGAGUGUGAUAUGGAAUUUAAAUAUUGUAAAUAACUUUUUAUGAUCAACAUUCAACACUUGAUAAAUGCUCUAAAACAAACAA
Bolinopsis microptera is the source of this 486-nucleotide long non-coding RNA. RefSeq lists it as uncharacterized. The record is from RefSeq and is a predicted model, not a curated record. The transcript has 2 exons. NCBI's taxonomy places the organism in Eukaryota, Metazoa, Ctenophora, Tentaculata, Lobata, Bolinopsidae.